UACGAAGGGGCUAGCGUUGUUCGGAUUUACUGGGCGUAAAGCGCACGUAGGCGGAUCGUUAAGUCGGGGGUGAAAUCCUGGAGCUCAACUCCCAGAACUGCCUUCGAUACUGGCGAUCUGAGUCCGGAAGAGGGUGGCGGAAUUCCCAGUGUAGAGGUGAAAUCGUAGAUAUUGGGAAGAACACCGGUGGCGAAGGCGGCGACCUGGUC
This 209-nucleotide ribosomal RNA is filed under the name uncultured bacterium. Its description in RNAcentral is "partial 16S ribosomal RNA". It matches the Rfam family "Bacterial small subunit ribosomal RNA", at positions 524 to 734 of the family's 1533-position model. The record is from RNAcentral.